AGAGUUUGAUCCUGGCUCAGAACGAACGUUAGCGGCGCGCUUAACACAUGCAAGUCGCACGAGAAAGGGCUUCGGCCCCGGUAAAGUGGCGCACGGGUGAGUAACACGUGGGUAACCUUCCUAGGAGCGGGGGAUAACAUUCCGAAAGGAGUGCUAAUACCGCAUAAGACCACGACCCCGAAAGGGGACGAGGUAAAAGCAGGCCUCUAUACAUAAGCUUGCACUCCUAGAUGGGUCCGCGGCCCAUCAGCUAGUUGGUAGGGUAAUGGCCUACCAAGGCUAAGACGGGUAGCUGGUCUGAGAGGAUGAUCAGCCACACUGGAACUGAGACACGGUCCAGACUCCUACGGGAGGCAGCAGUGGGGAAUCUUGCGCAAUGGGCGAAAGCCUGACGCCGCGACGCCGCGUGGGUGAUGAAGGCCUUCGGGUUGUAAAGCCCUGUGGGGAGAGACGAAUAAGUCGUAGCUAAUACCUCCGAUGAUGACGGUAUCUCCUUAGCAAGCACCGGCUAACUCUGUGCCAGCAGCCGCGGUAAGACAGAGGGUGCAAACGUUGUUCGGAAUUACUGGGCGUAAAGCGUGUGUAGGCGGCUAUGUAAGUCGGAUGUGAAAGCCCUGGGCUCAACCCAGGAAGUGCACUCGAUACUGCGUAGCUUGAGUACCGGAGAGGUUGGUGGAAUUCUCGGUGUAGAGGUGAAAUUCGUAGAUAUCGAGAGGAACACCGGUGGCGAAGGCGGCCAACUGGACGAGUACUGACGCUGAGACACGAAAGCGUGGGGAGCAAACAGGAUUAGAUACCCUAGUAGUCC
This 808-nucleotide ribosomal RNA is filed under the name uncultured bacterium. RNAcentral describes it as "bacterial SSU rRNA". It matches the Rfam family "Bacterial small subunit ribosomal RNA", at positions 8 to 796 of the family's 1533-position model. The record is from RNAcentral.